Molecule: transfer RNA, 71 nt
Filed under: Loxodonta africana (African savanna elephant)
Lineage: Eukaryota; Metazoa; Chordata; Mammalia; Proboscidea; Elephantidae
Rfam family: tRNA
About the family: Transfer RNA (tRNA) molecules are approximately 80 nucleotides in length.
Source: Rfam by way of RNAcentral
GCAUUGGUUGUUCAGUAGUAGAAUUCUCACCUUCCAUGCAGGAGACCCGGGUUCGACUCCUGGCCAAUGCA